AGGGCCUGUGGUGGGUUUCUCAGUAGGCCGAGUCUUUCUAUAAAAUCUCUUGGAAUCUAGUAGCCCUGCUGUCAAUGGCAGCUGGCUUUAAAGGGUUUGUUUUGUUUUGUUUUGUUUUUCCUGUUCUCUUUUUUUGGCCCUGCCUGCCUCCCCCGUCUUUUCUGCUAUCACUCAUUUAUUUCUCUAUUAGGAUCUUGGUUUAUUAUUGCUUUUGCUAGGGUAGGGGUAAAUAAAUUGAUUUAUGCCCCUCCCCCUUCCCUCAGCGGAAACGGCUGGAGGAGGAGGAGCCUGGCCUGGCUCUAGGGGUUGAGGGCGGGGUUGAGGGCGGAGCCAAGUCAGUACUGGAUGUCCUGCCAAAGACACAUUCUUCAGAGAUGUAUCACGCUUGUCUCCCUCCCUCCUUCGCCCUUGUCAUCUCUCAAGCUGGAUUCAAAGCAGGUCUGCCGAAGCCAGCUCCUACACCAAGAUCCAGGGACGGCUAUAAUCUGAGACCGAGUGUAUUCAGGGCCACCACUGAUGUGACGGGAAAACAAUCAACGGGGUCUAUCUUCUCUGCUUCCCAAAUAAACACGAUCCACCCA
Herpailurus yagouaroundi (jaguarundi) is the source of this 581-nucleotide long non-coding RNA. RefSeq lists it as uncharacterized. The transcript is spliced from 2 exons. The record is from RefSeq and is a predicted model, not a curated record. NCBI's taxonomy places the organism in Eukaryota, Metazoa, Chordata, Mammalia, Carnivora, Felidae.